UCCUGCUUCUCUCCCUGUUGUUACAAAAAGUGGAUCUCACUUGAAACUCGGUGCUCUGCUUCUUGUUUUUGCAGUAACUCCUCCAGAAGCACUGACUCAACAUGGCAGACAUUCACUCCUUGCUUUUCUCUGCUCUGGAUGAUCUGGAACGAGAUGAUCUGAAGCGCUUCAAGAUGUACUUGCAGCAGGGCGUCGCUGAAGGUCUAGGCCGCAUUCCGAAGGGUCAGUUGGAGGACAAGGGGGUGACCGAUGUGGUUGAAAAGAUGGUGGUGAGCUUUGGAAGAGAGGAGGCCCUCAGAGUGACUCUUCUGAUCCUGAAGAAGAUCAACCAAAAUGACCUCGCUCAACAGCUGGAAAAAGAAUACGAAAAGCAGAUCAGUGAACAGCAGAGGGAUAUGAGGAGGGCUGAGGCUGAGAAUCAGAUUGAGGAGCACAUUCAGAAGCUGGAGCAGGAAAUUGCUGAGCUGAGGAGGAGAAAUUCAGAGUUGGAGCAGCUUCCACUUGGGGAGGACUUUGUGAGCCCCACGCAAAGCUCCCCAACCCAGUUCCCAUCCAGUGCGGAGGAGGACACAUCCAACAAGCCUAAUCAAGCGACCAAACCAAAAGAGUUAUUGAAAAAAGAUGUGGUUAAACUGGAGGACAAGCUCAGGAGAGAAAGACUGAGUCUUAAAGAGCUCAAGGAAAGAAGACAGCAGAAAAGUCAAGAUUCUACACAGGAAUUGAAUUCCAAGUGCUGCGAUGUAAAGAAACCUCAGCCUCAGCCACGCUCUCCCCAAACAUGCGACAAGUCAGAUCUGCCCAGUUCUGUCUUAGUUUCUUCGUCUUCUUCUCCAUGUUCCACAGCCUACAAAGAACCAGAACCUUUGAUUCAGUGUAAUACCAGUCCUACCGGGUUUGUGCCCCAGAAUCCAACUCAACCCACUUAUCCUUCUGGAUCACCUGGAAGGUUCACAGCCAACAAUCCUACAGAGUCUUUCUCACCAACAAGUUCUACACGUGAAAGUUCUAUGAACAAGAAUCCAGCAGGACCUUCUUUUGUGUCCAGUUCUGUUUUCAGAAGUUCUACUACUUCAAAUCCAAGAUCAAAGUUCCCUCUGUCUUACACAUCCCAUUCCACAUUUGUUAGUUCAACCAUACAGAAAACAGCAGACCCAGUCUCCUUCUCCAGGUCCUUGCCUCGUUCCACUGCUAUGCCCUCAACAGGGUCUCAGCUGAGGAAUGUGCCCCACUUUUCACUGGAGGAAGCUUUGGACUAUACCUCAUCCACUCCUCAGUUCAUGCCCAAAACUGCCACCCUUGCUGCUGUACAGCAGGACCUUCUGAGAAGUAGACCGGGAGACCUUCUCAACAUGCCAGGGAUGUUCACAGGGCCCUCAGGUGUCCUGGGAAGCCCACAACUCACAGCUGGAACUCACCUAAUGAAUUCCAAUGUCAUAAGAGACAUCAGUGCACUGCAUUUAGGAGUCCCCCGGUCAACAGGAAAGCGUCUUUCUCUGCCUGAUAUCAAUACUUUUGGUUUAUAAGUGUUCUUAAAAGUUAAGAUGAAACUUGUAACCUCAGUGGAAUGUUUUUUUUUUAUUAUUAUUUUAAAAUGAUUUAAAUUAAUAAUUUAAGACCCUUCCAUACAUUUAAGGGGGUUCUCAAAACUCACAUCUUUCAUGCUUUACCCCAGCCUCAUAAGUGCUUGAUAAACAUAUACAUGCUUGUUACAUGUAAUAAUUUUUAAUAAGUGUUUUUUUUUUUUUUUUUUUUUUCAUAAUGGCAAGACUUUGUUCAGCUAUUCAUGUGAUGUGUACCGGUUCACAUGGUGGAGUGUGACAAACUGACUGAAGAAUCUUGUGUCUGCACCCAAAUCGCU
Long non-coding RNA from Scleropages formosus (Asian bonytongue), 1858 nucleotides. The record is from Ensembl. NCBI's taxonomy places the organism in Eukaryota, Metazoa, Chordata, Actinopteri, Osteoglossiformes, Osteoglossidae.